UACGUAGGGACCAAGCGUUGUUCGGAUUUACUGGGCGUAAAGGGCGCGUAGGCGGCUUAACAAGUCACUUGUGAAAUCUCCGGGCUUAACUCGGAACGGCCAAGUGAAACUGUCAAGCUAGAGUGCAGAAGGGGCAAUCGGAAUUCUUGGUGUAGCGGUGAAAUGCGUAGAUAUCAAGAGGAACACCUGAGGUGAAGACGGGUUGCUGGGCUGACACUGACGCUGAGGCGCGAAAGCGUGGGGAGCGAACAGG
Molecule: ribosomal RNA, 253 nt
Filed under: uncultured bacterium
Lineage: Bacteria
Description: partial 16S ribosomal RNA
Rfam family: Bacterial small subunit ribosomal RNA
Source: RNAcentral